UUAUGUGAUCGUCUCUCGCAUAUCAAUAAGCGGAGGAAAAGAAACUAACAAGGAUUCCCCUAGUAACGGCGAGUGAAGCGGGAAGAGCUCAAAUUUGAAAUCUUAAAGGGUUUCCCUUUACGAAUUGUAGUUUAAAGAAGUGUUUUCUGUUGAGGUUUUGGUAAAAGUUCUUUGGAAUAGGACAUCAUAGAGGGUGAGAAUCCCGUAUUUGACCUUUACUUUCAACUUUGUGAUACACUUUCAAAGAGUCGGAUUGUUUGGGAAUGCAGUCCAAAAUGGGUGGUAAAUUUCAUCUAAAGCUAAAUAUUGGCGAGAGACCGAUAGCGAACAAGUACUGUGAGGGAAAGAUGAAAAGAACUUUGAAAAGAGAGUUAAACAGUACGUGAAAUUGUCAAAAGGGAAGCGUUUGACACCAGUGUUGUUUUUCUGAAAAUCAAUUAAAGAACUGUUUAUGCUAAGUUGUUUAGACUUUAUCAGCUAUCUGUUUAGUUUUGAGCUUUUCUUUAAUGCACUUUUCAGUUAACAAGUCAACAUCAAUUUCUUUUGCUGUAAAAAAGCUUGAGGAAGGUGGCUUGAGAUUCGUCUUAAGUGUUUAUAGCCUCUUGCCUAUGCAGUCGGAGAGAUUGAGGUCUGCAGCGUAGAUCCUUCGGGGCUAAAUGCAUUUGUGCUAAGUUAUAGCAUUUUAUAGACAACUUGUUGACUAUGAUUUGUCUUGUAGCUUACUCGCUUAUGUUAUUUUACCUACGCUUAGGAUGUUGAUCUACAGAGCGAGAGU
RNAcentral lists this ribosomal RNA (775 nucleotides) under uncultured Neocallimastigales. RNAcentral describes it as "partial large subunit ribosomal RNA". It matches the Rfam family "Eukaryotic large subunit ribosomal RNA", at positions 24 to 635 of the family's 3401-position model. Lineage: Eukaryota; Fungi; Neocallimastigomycota; Neocallimastigomycetes; Neocallimastigales. The record is from RNAcentral.